This 468-nucleotide ribosomal RNA is filed under the name uncultured bacterium. RNAcentral describes it as "partial 16S ribosomal RNA". It matches the Rfam family "Bacterial small subunit ribosomal RNA", at positions 28 to 507 of the family's 1533-position model. The record is from RNAcentral.
GACGAAAGUUGGAGGCGUGCUUAACACAUGCAAGUCGAACGGAAAGGCCCUGCUUUUGUGGGGUGCUCGAGUGGCGAACGGGUGAGUAACACGUGAGUAACCUGCCCUUGACUUUGGGAUAACUUCAGGAAACUGGGGCUAAUACCGGAUAGGAGCUCCUGCUGCAUGGUGGGGGUUGGAAAGUUUCGGCGGUUGGGGAGGGACUCGCGGCUUAUCAGCUUGUUGGUGGGGUAGUGGCUUACCAAGGCUUUGACGGGUAGCCGGCCUGAGAGGGUGACCGGCCACAUUGGGACUGAGAUACGGCCCAGACUCCUACGGGAGGCAGCAGUGGGGAAUAUUGCACAAUGGGCGGAAGCCUGAUGCAGCAACGCCGCGUGCGGGAUGACGGCCUUCGGGUUGUAAACCGCUUUCGCCUGUGACGAAGCGUGAGUGACGGUAAUGGGUAAAGAAGCACCGGCUAACUACGUG